This 252-nucleotide ribosomal RNA is filed under the name uncultured bacterium. RNAcentral's name for it is "partial 16S ribosomal RNA". It matches the Rfam family "Bacterial small subunit ribosomal RNA", at positions 524 to 776 of the family's 1533-position model. The record is from RNAcentral.
UACGUAGGGGGCUAGCGUUGUCCGGAAUCAUUGGGCGUAAAGGGUUCGCAGGCGGAAAUGCAAGUCAGAUGUAAAAGGCAGUAGCUUAACUACUGUUAGCAGUUGAAACUGUAAAUCUUGAGUAGAGUAGAGGUAAGUGGAAUUCCUAGUGUAGCGGUGAAAUGCGUAGAUAUUAAAAAGAAUACCGGUGGCGAAGGCGACUUACUGGGCUCAUUCUGACGCUGAGGUACGAAAGCGUGGGUAGCAAACAGG